This is a long non-coding RNA of Thunnus maccoyii (southern bluefin tuna), 1486 nucleotides long. RefSeq lists it as uncharacterized. Lineage: Eukaryota; Metazoa; Chordata; Actinopteri; Scombriformes; Scombridae. The record is from RefSeq and is a predicted model, not a curated record. The transcript has 5 exons.
GAAAAUUAAAUAAAGUCCAAACCAUGACUUUCUGCUGUGUUUAAAUGUAUACAGUGGUAACUGCUUAUAGUGAUCAGUUAUCCCAGAUAGCAACUGACUCUGGACCGGAUCCGCCUCCAAAGACUGAUCCGUGUUACAGUCUCACCGGUUUUACAUCCCCGUGCCAGAUACGGACCGCAUACAGGCUGACGAGUGGGUGUGUCAGUUAGACUCGCAAUCAGUCAGCAGAGUCAAAGUAGUUACGGGCCAGAUCCAUGGAAACAAGCGCGCGAUUUUUUUUCUUUUUCCUUUUGUUCAGUUGUAUCAGAACAGACCAAGGAAAAGCAGGAGACCGUUGGCGGCUUUUCUUCCAGCGUUGGAAAAUUUUUUAUUACGGUUCAGGUUCCCCCAGAGUGCCGCGGAUCAGUAGGGGGCUGUAAGGAAGAACCAAUCUGCGAGCAGCGCUCCAGAUAGUGAGAUAGACUCACAUAUCAUCAGAUGGUUUAACUUGGCAUCUGACCGGGGAGGUGGCCGCAAAGACCGUGCCAAGACUAAAGAAGCAUUAACCACGGCAUCACAACAUUCCACUGAGCAGCAGUGGCUGACUUCAUAAAGGUACUGUAUAUUUUACAUAUAUUUUGUAUUCUUGAUUACUGUGGCAGCCGCACUAAACACCGAUGCUGAGUGUCAGUGGUUUUCUUUUUAGCACCGUUAACAUACAAACAUUUUAAGUAGUGACAGUACACAUAGCCUUUUGUUUUUCCUACAGCACACACUUUAUUUUUUGACAGUUUGCUAAUUUGUAUGCACUCAUUUUAGUUAACAUUCUGUCAUUUCUUGCUUGCUUUAAAUUAUGUUCUAACUUUUUGUUUUUCAUGGAUCCAACAAAGAAAGUGGCACGAGGAAGUGGAAGGGACAGCAGGCAGUGGGAGAGGGACAAGUGCUGCUCUUCACUUCCACCAUGAAGACUGAAGCCGGAUGCAGGGAUUGAACCGUCAACCUUCUAGUAAUAAAUUUGCUCCUAUAACCUUUAGGAUAUCACUACCCGCCUACAGGUAGGCCUAUACGUUUAAUCUGUCAUCAAUUUUGUGCCAAGUUAUCUCCUUCACCUUGUUAAUUGUACCAGUAUUGGCCUUUUUGGUGAAAACUCCUUUAUAUUUUUCAUAUAGUUUCAUCAGCAGGUUUGUUCUGCUGCUGAGAAGAACAAAGCCCUAGUUUUCUUUUCUUUUUGCAACAUAAUAUUGUCUUUUCAACAAUCGACUGUUCUGGACUGCUUAUUCUAGUUUGGCUAGAGUUAGCUGGCUAGAGUUAGCGUUGACUAGACAUGGCUAAGCUGCGUUAGUGACUUCAUUAACUUUUAAAAUGUAUGAAUAUGGCAAUGCCGUUUGAAGUUCAGGGUUGUUCUUUAAGGUAAGAGUUAAAGCUUUUAACAAUUGUAUGAAUGAAUGAAUAAAUGUUUUACAAUUGCAAUGUUGAGUUGGCACUUGAAUGAAUAUCUGAAAUGUGA